RNAcentral lists this ribosomal RNA (253 nucleotides) under uncultured bacterium. RNAcentral describes it as "partial 16S ribosomal RNA". It matches the Rfam family "Bacterial small subunit ribosomal RNA", at positions 524 to 776 of the family's 1533-position model. The record is from RNAcentral.
UACGUAGGGUGCAAGCGUUGUCCGGAAUUAUUGGGCGUAAAGAGCUCGUAGGCGGUUUGUCGCGUCGAAUGUGAAAACCCGGGGCUCAACCCCGGGCCUGCAUUCGAUACGGGCAGACUAGAGUUCGGUAGGGGAGUCUGGAAUUCCUGGUGUAGCGGUGAAAUGCGCAGAUAUCAGGAGGAACACCGAUGGCGAAGGCAGGUCUCUGGGCCGAUACUGACGCUGAGGAGCGAAAGCGUGGGGAGCGAACAGG